UCCCUACGGGAGGCAGCAGCCGCGGUAAUACGUAGGGAGCGAGCGUUAUCCGGAUUUAUUGGGUGUAAAGGGUGCGUAGGCGGCUUCUUAAGUCUGUAGUCUAAGCCCGGAGCUUAACUCCGGUUCGCUACAGAAACUGAUUAGCUUGAGUAUGGUAGAGGCAAGUGGAAUUUCUAGUGUAGCGGUUAAAUGCGUAGAUAUUAGAAGGAACACCAGUGGCGAAGGCGACUUGCUGGGCCAUUACUGACGCUGAGGCACGAAAGCGUGGG
Molecule: ribosomal RNA, 269 nt
Filed under: uncultured bacterium
Lineage: Bacteria
Description: partial 16S ribosomal RNA
Rfam family: Bacterial small subunit ribosomal RNA
Source: RNAcentral